UGGAUUGUGGUGCAGUGGGUCAGCACAUCUGGCUAUAAACCAGAAGGUUGGUGGCUCAUGCCUACCCAAGGAUGGUGGUGGGCAG
Non-coding RNA from Podarcis lilfordi (Lilford's wall lizard), 85 nucleotides. The record is from the annotation of a GenBank genome assembly. Lineage: Eukaryota; Metazoa; Chordata; Lepidosauria; Squamata; Lacertidae.